GUGUCAGCCGCCGCGGUAACACGUAGGGGCCAAGCGUUGUCCGGAUUUAUUGGGCGUAAAGAGCUCGUAGGCGGUUGGGUAAGUCGGGUGUGAAAACUCCAGGCUCAACUUGGAGACGCCACCCGAUACUGCUCUGACUUGAGUUCGGUAGGGGAGUGGGGAAUUCCUGGUGUAGCGGUGAAAUGCGCAGAUAUCAGGAGGAACACCGGUGGCGAAGGCGCCACUCUGGGCCGAAACUGACGCUGAGGAGCGAAAGCGUGGGUAGCAAACAGGAUUAGAAACCCCUGUAGUCC
This 293-nucleotide ribosomal RNA is filed under the name uncultured bacterium. RNAcentral describes it as "partial 16S ribosomal RNA". It matches the Rfam family "Bacterial small subunit ribosomal RNA", at positions 505 to 796 of the family's 1533-position model. The record is from RNAcentral.